Molecule: long non-coding RNA, 212 nt
Filed under: Solanum tuberosum (potato)
Lineage: Eukaryota; Viridiplantae; Streptophyta; Magnoliopsida; Solanales; Solanaceae
Description: long non-coding RNA (STUB_LNC007228)
Source: RNAcentral
UCUUGUUUUUACUCUAGCUGCACGUCUGGGAUCACGUUAUCUUCGCCUUGACAUUUGGAACAUUGAUGAUCCGGAUAUUUAUGGCCAAUAGUUUUGCAGUAUCUGGUCAUUAUUUCUGAAGAGAUAAAAUCCUUCCUUAUAGCUCUUGUUGUAGGUUGUUGCUCAGGUUUUAGCAGACUUAGUGCCCAUUGCCUGAGUUCUUCCAUAUCUGC